GAUGAACGCUAGCGAUAGGCUUAACACAUGCAAGUCGAGGGGCAGCACAAGGUAGCUUGCUCUCUGGGUGGCGACCGGCGCACGGGUGCGUCACGCGUAUGCAACUUGCCCUAUACAGGAGGAUAACCCGUCGAAAGACGGACUAAUACUGCGUAUGCUCACAACUUGGCAUCAAGAGGUGAGGAAAGAAAUUCGGUAUAGGAUAGGCAUGCGUCCCAUUAGCUUGUUGGUGAGGUAACGGCUCACCAAGGCAACGAUGGGUAGGGGAACUGAGAGGUUGAUCCCCCACACUGGUACUGAGACACGGACCAGACUCCUACGGGAGGCAGCAGUGAGGAAUAUUGGUCAAUGGGCGCGAGCCUGAACCAGCCAAGUCGCGUGAAGGAUGACUGUCUUAUGGAUUGUAAACUUCUUUUAUACGGGAAUAACAAGAGUAACGUGUGACUCCCUGCAUGUACCGUAUGAAUAAGCAUCGGCUAACUCCGUG
This 487-nucleotide ribosomal RNA is filed under the name uncultured bacterium. RNAcentral's name for it is "partial 16S ribosomal RNA". It matches the Rfam family "Bacterial small subunit ribosomal RNA", at positions 28 to 507 of the family's 1533-position model. The record is from RNAcentral.